UGGGGAAUAUUGCACAAUGGGCGCAAGCCUGAUGCAGCCAUGCCGCGUGUGUGAAGAAGGCCUUCGGGUUGUAAAGCACUUUCAGCGAGGAGGAAGGUGGUGGACUUAAUACGUUCAUCAAUUGACGUUACUCGCAGAAGAAGCACCGGCUAACUCCGUGCCAGCAGCCGCGGUAAUACGGAGGGUGCAAGCGUUAAUCGGAAUUACUGGGCGUAAAGCGCACGCAGGCGGUUUGUUAAGUCAGAUGUGAAAUCCCCGGGCUCAACCUGGGAACUGCAUUUGAAACUGGCAAGCUAGAGUCUCGUAGAGGGGGGUAGAAUUCCAGGUGUAGCGGUGAAAUGCGUAGAGAUCUGGAGGAAUACCGGUGGCGAAGGCGGCCCCCCUGGACGAAGACUGACGCUCAGGUGCGAAAGCGUGGGGAGCAAAACAGGAUUAGAUACCCUGGUAGUCCACGCUGUAAAACGAUGUCGAUUUGGAGGUUGUGCCCUUGAGGCGUGGCUUCCGGAGCUAACGCGUUAAAUCGACCGCCUGGGGAGUACGGCCGCAAGGUUAAAAACU
This 558-nucleotide ribosomal RNA is filed under the name uncultured bacterium. RNAcentral's name for it is "partial 16S ribosomal RNA". It matches the Rfam family "Bacterial small subunit ribosomal RNA", at positions 355 to 901 of the family's 1533-position model. The record is from RNAcentral.